Molecule: long non-coding RNA, 6958 nt
Filed under: Strongylocentrotus purpuratus (purple sea urchin)
Lineage: Eukaryota; Metazoa; Echinodermata; Echinoidea; Camarodonta; Strongylocentrotidae
Description: uncharacterized LOC115919796
Source: RNAcentral
GGUGGUGGUGGUGGUGGUGGUGGUGGGGAUGGGUAAGGGAGGUAUGGGUUGGGCGCGCCAAGCUGCUGGGGGUAGCUCUUUACGGUGCGCUUCUGUGUAUAUUUUGCAUCACGAGUGGCUUCGGCCUCUUGAAUGAGGCUUAUUAAUUUAUGAAAAGGGGGCGCAACAAUUUGUUGAUGGAGAUUUGUUACAGAGAGGAUGUACUCAUCCUGGCAUCCCAUCCUAAACCUAUCUAAAAGAUUCUGGUCUGUCGAGUCUGGUAAAAACUCUCCUAUCUCCACCAACUUGUUGAUUUUGAGCUGUGUCCUCUUUAGGAAGUCUGAGGGCUUUUACCCUUUGUCAUGGGACAUACACAUAAACUCGCUAAGGAGAAGGGACUUGUUCUCUACUGCGCCAUACACAUUGUCCAAAAAAGAUACAAGUCCAUGGGCAGUGGAGCUUCUCGUCCUGAUGUCCCUGGGUUAGGGUUUAGGGUAUUGGAUAUUGAUUGUUCCUUAAGUGUUUAUGCGCUUGGUGCUUUAAUACCAACAUGAUUGCAGCCAAUACAGCCCAAAGUUUUCUCUUGGAUGAAGAUAACAUUUACUACUAAGAAUUUAUUUAUUAUGAUAACAAUCAUUGAACAUACAGCCCAACAUGCAUCCUAGGGCUAAAUAUAUUCACUUUACAAAACAAAAUAUACAGAAUACAUACAAAUCAAGAUGAAAAACAAAGAAUACCAAUUAUCAAUCAUUAGGUUGAAAUAAAGUUAAUGUAGUACAAAAUAAUCAUACAAAAUUACACUGAAUAAAUCCUCAAAUAUUACAUUUAACAUUUCAGAAGUAAAAUUAGAUUGUGGUGAUUGUAGGAAACCUGCAACUACUUCUUCAAGAUGUUUUUGCAUUUCAUGGCUCGAAAAUGAAUUUUGCUGCUGACUUAGCCGGUAGUGUUCCUUUGAAGGGCCUUUACAGUUCACUUCUUUAUGAAGAAAUGACAGCUGUGUUAAAGAUGGCAGGCCUCACUUCUUCUUCAGUCUUGGAGGAUCUUAAUUUCUCAACACAGGGUGACUUCGAGCUAGAUGACAGUGCAGAAGCUACAGAGCAACCAGCAUCUGAAGAAAGCUCAACUAUGUCAUCAACCAGAACCAGAAGCGGAUGAGUUAUUAAACCACCAGAUCGCUUGAACUUGUAAAUAAAUGAAAGCGAACCACAAAGAAAGACUUUCGCGUUUUGUAAAUAGUUUAAAGUUAAUACAUCCUCAACGCCAGAUUUGUCGCAACCUCGAUAAUGGAAGGCCUUGCUUGCAGUGCUAACAAGUCUUGUAACUCCGGCCUCUGAUUUUACUUCACAAUCAGUUCGUUCUUUUUUAAAUCACUAAACAAGUUGUAAUAUUGAAUUUCCUCUUCGUCUUCAUAAUCGAUUUCGAACAGUUUUCAUGGAAUCUUCUUUUCUGGUCUCGAUACCGAUCACUAGACCUCUUACCCACAUUUUCUUGUGAGCACUUAUGAACAGAUAUUCAAUUUCCUCCCCAACAAGCAGUUCUGGCUUCUCCAGGAAAUUUGCCAGAACCCGUUUUGAUGCCUGAGCAGCUCUCUUCGUCUUCUCACUUUCAAUUAUCUCACCCAAUUUCCUUUUUCUGGUCCUCAAAGUUUUCUGCUUGUUCCUCUGUUGGAGUAUAAUCCAGACCAGACACGCCUUGGAUGCUUUUCUUGGGCAGUAUUUGCAGCCUCUACGGGAUCCAUCUCUGUACAAAGAUGAUUGUAGUCAACCACUUCUACGAGAUGUUUUUCCAUUUCUUGGCUCGAGUUUUCUGCCUUUCUCUUUGAGCGGGAGGCUUGUUUCUCCAAUCAACCUUUUUUCCUGAAUUUUGCUGCUUUGUUAGCUGGUAGUGUUCCUUUCUAAUAAUAAGAAUUAUAAAAACGUUACUUGUAAAGCGCUUACCACCGAAGUCUCUAAGCACUAAGACGUAUACUUGGAUGCGGCAGGGAGAUUGGGUAUUCUUAGUAGUUGUUUCAGUCUUUGACGACCACUCUUUUUUCCCCUAUGACUAUACGACUACGUUUGGACUGUUUCUGAAGUAUUCCAAUUCCAAGAGAUUUGAUUUGAUCCAAGACAAAAGGAUGCAAAGCACAUUGUGAAACAACAUCCUGUGGGGCACAAUUCAAUUUCAAAAGUUCAUCACGGUGAUAAGAAAUAAGAGUUAUAGUUGAUGUAAACUUUAGCUCAUUUUCUGUCCGAGGUCCAGGAUUUGGAUUGAUAUCACCAGAAAUCAAUAGUUGUAUUUGGAAAGUUGAUGAUGUGUUAGAAUAAUAAAGAACGCGUUGAGACAGGAAGUCAAUAUAGGUUCUGAGGGUUGCGAAUACUUCCCUCAAGGCAACUGGUCUUUACACUGUCUUUGUAAAAUGAGUAGCACAGCACAACUGAUGAGCUCCAACGCAUGGAUCGUCCUUGCUUCAGAGUCUGCGUCUGACGGUUGCAAAAGCUUCUGUGCAACCUCAUCAGUCAAACCUAUAUUGUAUGGACUGUCUCCUUGUAGGACAAGUGAAGCAUCCAUUAACACUACCGGGGCUUUUGUAAUGUUAUGAGUCGCGGGAAACUAACAUUUAUCAUUUAAAACAAAAUUUGUUUUCAAAGUGACAGAUGCUUUAUUUUUAUUCUCUUGGAUUGAGAAGACAUUUGUUCAAUUAAGUUUAUUCAUUUCCAUAAAAAUCACAUCACAAGAACACAUACAUUUGCAAAAGGUACUGUAAAUAACAUGCAAAAUCUUUCAUUAGAAUAUACAUAAGUACAUUAAAAUAUUAAACAAUAAUGGUAAAACGGAAGUUAUAAAAACCCAAAUAAAUGAGUUUGUUGAGAUAUCUACCCCCAAUUAAUUAAACAAAAUGUGAUGAACAUAAUAAAGAUUAGUCCAGAAUCCGGCCUAUUUAAUUUUGAUCUCCACCACAUCAAUGCUACCUCUCCCUACUUACUUGCUACCAGCCGAUGAUGGCGUCAUCAUUAAAUUAGGACGCCCAGUAUAGCUGGGGUAAAAGUCAAUACGUAAUAACCUUUUUCACCAUAUGCGGAAUUAUAUUCAAGAAUUGCAAAGUUGUAUUUUAAAACUGUUGUCCAGGGUAUUGGGUCGGAUUGUCCAGGGUCAGGCUGUCCGGUGCUCGGGUGGUCUAGGAUUCCGCAAAAAUUGUUCAGUCACUGUCACUAACAGACAAGACAGCCUCUUGGUACUCGUCACUGUCAGAAAAAUCUUCAUCUGUGUCGGAUUCUGUUUCGUCUCUGAAGGCCACCAACUGGUCUGACACUGAUGAUCUCUCCAAUGUGGACAAAGAAUACCCCACACGUCUGAAGCCAUCUCCAGACUUGGGAGGGCAUACCAGGACCUGAAGCUUUCAAUGCUUAAUUGAAUAGUGCUCUCACAAACAAUCUGGUUAACUUUACUAACGGAGAAACUGCAAGCUAAAUCCGCACCACAGUAGUUGUGGUGAAGUCCUUCAUGCUGGCCGACACAGCCCUUCCAGCAAUAUCACCUGAAAAUUGGAUAGUGAUGGCCACGCUAGGUUUUCCAUCUCUCCCGAUGUGACCGCUCAUCUGUAUGUAGUCGUCAAGGUCUGUGCAACGUCCAAAGAUCAUCGUAGUGUUCACACCUUUCACAUCAACGCCCAUGCCAUAUGCAAUUGUAGCACAAUCAACACCCUCACAGAUCCAUCUGCAUGGCUGAAACUGUCAAUGAUGUUCUGCUGGACAUCGUGUUCCGUAUUGGUGUGGAACAUAUCAAAGUAUUUGGGGUGUGGUGAUGGCAGUAAGUCAAUAAAUGUGGCAUAAAGGUCACUGACCACCUUUCUUGACUGGCAAUAGAUGAUAUAUCUCUCGCAUGAAGCCCCAUUAGCCUUCAAAUCAGCUAGUAACCAAGCAAAAAUAGUGUCGUAGUCCUUGCUGCGUGUUUUGAAAACACGAUCGAUCAAAGUGCAAAACAAACUCGUUUCUUUUCGGUCUAAAGAGAUUGUCACUUUAUCAACCAAUCAGCGCAGCGUAAGCAUGAUGGUGGGCGGUCCGCAGUUUUAUUGCUCUCCGUUGAAAUUUCAACGGAGAGCAAUUAAAGUGAGGUUUUUGUCUGUACGGUCCUCAGACUGGGCUGGUGAGCAUAAUUAUGAGUUUGUUGAUAACGCCAUCUUCGACGGCUUGAAUCAAGUGUGUAGGGAAAUUAUAAAGGACCAUGCAGAUUCUGGACUAAAUAAAGAUUUGAAAUUACAUAAACUUAUUUUGCCCUAAAGAAAACUUGUAGAAGAACAGAAACAAACAAAAAAAAACAUACAAGCCUUACAAAUACACACAUACACACACAUAUAUAUAAAGUGGAAAAAUAUGAGGAGAGAUACAUUCUUUGCUGUGAGAUCUUCCCUCGAUUUUCUCUUUCCGGCAAGUAUUCAGUGAUUUCUCAUUACUUCACUAUGGUUUCUGUAUGAUCGGUUUAUUAUGAUAAAAAAGAUAUUGAACAUGCAGCUUAAAGGCUUGUGAUGUUCACAGUCCGCCAAGCUUCGAAACUUCUUCUACGAGAGAAGUGGUUGCCAGCAUUUUCUUGUAUUCUGCUUCCUUCUUUUUCUGUUGAGUCCUCUGCAGAGUUCGAGUUCACACUUGACUUCUACGUUCCUCCUAUCUUUAACGGUGCUGUUUAUUAAAUCUUGUAUGUUUGUGACAAUUGAUGGAUGGUUCUCGGGGAUCGAUGCUCUCCAAAAUCUAGAUGACUCUUGUUUUUUCUGAAGAGUGAUUACAUGUCCUCCUCUGUUUCGCGGUUAUUGUUAAGUGUUGUGAAAAAUUAAAAUGGUCUAGAAAGGGAAUAAUUAUAUGAGACAAAAAUUCAUCAGCAUCAUGUUGCUGACUCAUCGUAAACGAGCAGGCACAGCAAACUGCUAUGUAUGCAUUCUGGAUAACGGCGAACGUUAGAAUGGACUCGUCGGUCACAUUUAUCCUAACAUUAAGUAGGCUGAAUAGUUCAUGGUAUGCACUGCAUCCUUUUCAUGAUGGCCUGUAGGUUCUGGGGGUUGAUUAUGGUGUUGAAAGAAAUUUCUUAUGAUUGGGGUGUGACAUAUGCCUUGAAUAGCGGCAUUAAACCAACAAUUGCUUGACUGAUUUUCCAUCCCACAAAUUCCAUAGUAUUCAUCUUUGGGUAUCUUUGCAUGUCCAAGCGGAUUUCUCUUAGGUGCCUUCUGGAAAACACCACCCCUCUUGUGACCCCCCCCCCCCUUUUUUGUUCCAUUCUUCUUCUAUCGUCACUCUUGAUUUUCCCCAAGAUUGACCUCCAUGGUUACUACUUUGAAGAUUUCCUUCAUUUUCAUUCCCAUUCGCACGUUUCUGAUCUUGUGAUUUCCUGCGCCCUGAUUUUCUUGUAGAUUUAUCAUCGUAAUUUCUCUGAAUCCCUAUUGUGUCUUUUUCUUAAAUCGACACAAAUUCAUCUAUUCUAUUGAUUUUUCUUGUACCCAAUUGGAUAUUUUUCAAAACUCCCAUUCGUUGCUCAGCGUUUCUGGUAGUUCUUGAAAUUUUCAAAAUUUCUGUUUUGCGAUCUGCAAACAAUUUAUGUGUAUCACCUUUUUUGUACCGUGACAAAUCCCCUGAGCAGAAUACCUGACCAUAAGACACAUGACGGCAACAUGGUAUUUACUAUUUUUAAAACUUUCACUGAUUUGCUUUUCUAUUUCUGUUGAGUCCUCUGCAGAGAUCGAGUCCUAGAGAGGAUGAAAACAUUCACUUCACAAAAUAAGAUAUACAGAAUGCAUACAAAUCAAGAAAUACCAGUUAUCAAUAAUUAUGUCAAAAUAUAACUUACAUACAUGUAGUACAUCAAUCAAAUCACAUUGCACAGAAUAAAUCCUUGAUUAUAACAUAUAACAUUUUAAAAGUUAAAAGUUGAUGUUAUUAGAAGUAGGAAGAAAAGGGGGCAGAGGAGAGAACAAGGGAGCAGGUAGAUAUAUGGAGACAAGUGAGAGCGGAAUCGAGAGAGAGAAACAAAAAGAUACUAAAUCAGGAUUUAUACAAAAGCAGGAUUGCUAGGUAUAAGUUGGAUAUCAAUAUAUCUCUUUUAGCCAUCUUUUGAAAAUGCGGUACAAAAAGUCACUACCAUAUUUAUUAUAAAAAAAAAAUUACAUUGCAUAUGUUUUAUUACCUCUUCAGUCUUCCAAGUGUUUUCCAGCUGAAACCAAAAAUUGAUUUCAGCUGUAGGAUGUCCUCGAAUGGAAUACUUAUUCCAGCUGGUACCAAUAUUUCAGAAUUAUUCGACAACUAAAAGACCAUUUAGUUGCCAACUAGGCUUUAUGAAUUGGGCCUACCGGUAGUUGCCAACUGAAACUUAGUAAGGUUUUAUGAAUACCCUUUAGUGCCUAGUUGACAACGAGAGAGCAGUUUAGUUGCCAACUAGGAUUUAUAGGAUUUUAUGAAUAUGAGACAGAUCUUCCAGUCAUACAUGUAGGAAAACAUUCCUGCUCUCCCGUGCCAUUUGUAAAAAAAAUGUGAUGAUGGUCAAGCUUGAGAUGAAUAACACGGAACAUCAGUAGCAGGAUAAUAAAUCAAAUUUGAUACUUAACGUUAUGGGAAGAUACAUACCGGAAUGGUUUCUAGCAGUGAUUAAAUGAAUCUUCAACUCAUUUGAUAUUUUUGUAUAGCAUUUCAUUCCAAAUUUUGUAUUGGUGCUAUGGUACUUCUUGUUUUAGCACACCUAAAAUGAUAACCUUGCUAACCUUUCGCUAACCUACCUACUAUGACAUUUUAACAUAGCCAUGAAAUGUCUGGAAUUUUGAAAUAAUUUGGCUAAGAAAUCUUUGUAAGUUUUCAGAGAAGUAAUUGAUAUUUGGUACAGUAAAAAUUAAAAAUUUAUUGAGCUUGUAUAUUAUGUGUAUGAUAUGUAUUAUAAAUCAUGUAUGUAUUGUAUAUAUAUAUAUAUUAUGUAAAGCAUGUAUUGGCAUAAAUGCACCAUAUAUUGAUUUAUUAUUAUCCCUAAA